Spinacia oleracea (spinach) is the source of this 4205-nucleotide long non-coding RNA. RefSeq lists it as uncharacterized. The record is from RefSeq and is a predicted model, not a curated record. The transcript has 4 exons. Lineage: Eukaryota; Viridiplantae; Streptophyta; Magnoliopsida; Caryophyllales; Amaranthaceae.
UAAGAUUAUCUUUUCGUCCUUCCCUGGCUUCAAAACCCUUUGAGUCUACUGUCAAGACUCUCAAUAACCAGAGCGGCGAAACCAUCCUACCAAAACAUUCACACGGCGACGGUGCCCCUCACUCGACGGCGCUUUCCUUGACUGGCGGGCGCUUCCCUUCUCACGACAAAUUUUUCAAUUUGAAUUUCAAUGUAUCCUCUCAGUGAUAUUGUGACUCAAGCUUUGGUCGGUGCUGGCCUUGAAUCCUCUAACCUCAACCAUUGUAAAAUAUCAUUCAACAUUAGAAAUUUGCAUCAUACUUGCCAUGGAAAAAAUCCCUACGAACAAGCAAUAUCCCCAUGUUAAGGAUUUGGAGAUGAAUCAACGCAUGAUCAAGAUGUCUUUAGUUUCUACCUAGAUGAAAGAGUUUGUAGCAGAUUUUAGGAAGUCUCGUCCCGCUAUAAGGAAAUUGUUCUCUACUUAUGACAUGCAGGUUUGUUAUUUUAUUGAUGUUGUUCCUUUUUGUUAGUUCUCUACAUAUAUUGGUUGCUUGUCCUUUUGACUAUGAUUCAUAGACACUCCCUCUGUCCCUUAUUGUUUGUCCCAUUUUCCAUUUUAGUCUGGUGCCUAAGGUAUUGUCCCAUUAUUAUAAAUGCUCAUAGGGACGGAGGGGGUAGGGUGGAAUUGGUAUUUUUGUAGGUUAGAAAUAUUCUUUCUGUUACUCUUAUGAUGUUGGCAGCAUAAAACAAUAGUACACUUUAGUCAUUGGGACUUUCCUGACUCAAAUAGAGGUUCAUUUUGGAAGAAAUCCCCUGAUAUUGGAUGAUAAUGUAUCUAUUAGAUAGGGUGUUCAUGACUCCUCUUUUGUCAUCUAUACUACUAUUUAAUAACAGACCAGUUUAAUUGCCACAUGUCCUCUCUUUAAAUUUCCACAUUUUAUUUUAUUUUUUAGAAUAAAAAAUUUAUCUUAAAAUCUCUAUACUACGUAUCUGUUUUUUUUCCGGUUUUUUUCCCAGUUACUCUUACAAACAUCAAACGUGUCUUAUGAAUUGUGUCUUUUGAUAUUCUCCCCUUUUUAUCUCAAGCACUACAAUUGAAGGCCAUUUUAGUGAAACGUACUCUCUUGAGUCUUCCUGUUGCAUUCUUUUCCCCCUUUUUAUUUCUCCGUUAAUACUUCUUUUUAUUUUCUACGUCAAUCAAUUUUGUAUUUUAGGGAAGAAUCUCGUGAUUCUUCACAAGUAGUUUUAUAUUGCCUUAAAUACUUCUACAAUUGCAUUACCUCAUGAUACAAAUAUCUUGAUAUAAUUUCUGAUUUUAUGUUCUUUUUCCAACUGAUUUGUGAGCGGCGAUUGUUUUUGUUGGUUUGAUUUAGUUGUCAUUAAUGAAUUCAGAGUUUAUAAUAGAAGAAUUUUGGACAAGAAGUGUACUAUAUAUGGAGUACAUGAUAUCGAAUUCAAAGGUAUAUAGCCUCUAUUUUUCUUUGCAGUUACUUCAUUGAUGUAUUGUAUAACGGACGGUUUUUCAAUGGCUACCAUCUCAACCGUUUAAUUUUAUGAACUUAAUCUUAUCCGUUUAAUUGUUUGACCACCAUUUUUCAAAAAUGUAAAAGAAACUAAAUUAUUUUACAAAAAACGGUUUAUAAUUUAUCAAAUAAAAAAAACAGUUUUAUAGUUUUACAUCAAAGCAAAACAUAAUUAUCAUUGUCGUCAUCUGUCACCCAAGUUACAAUCAGUAGCGAAUUAGAUUAUGAUCAACAUUAAGAACCUGGCAAAAUAAGAAGUAUUGGUUAUCCCACUUAAAAACUGCAAAGUAACAUCUAAUAACAGUUGCACAACCCUUGAAAUCAUUUUUUGAGUUUCAUAUUUUUUUUAGGGAUUUUUUGAGUUUUAUAUAAUUAUAUUGAAUUCCUUUCCAUGGUGUUCCGAUUUAUUGUGAAUGAAUAUCAUGGUGUUCUUCUAUUCAUGAGUAGUCAGCAGAGUAUGCAAUUACAUUAAAAAAAGAAAUUUGCACAAGUUAAUACUUGUAUAAAAAUAAAUGCAUAGAUCGGUUAAGUUAUUCAUUGUUAAUUUAUAUUUUUAUUUACCCUAAAAGAAAAGUUAUAUUUUUAUUAAUUAGUCUAUUUUUAUAAAGAAAAAUAAAUUAUUUUAAAAGUCAAGUCAACAGAAAAUGAAUGGUGUAGAUUUAAUAAUUUAAAUAAAAAGUCAAGAUUAAAAGUUUAUAAUGGCUGCAAAAUUGAUGUAGCUAUUGUAAAAUUGUCCAUUGUAUACAUGCUGUUUUGUUCUGAUAAAUGAUAAAUCUAUUCAACUACAAUCAAACAAAUAUGGAUAAACCCUUUCCAGGUCUCAAUUUUCUAAAAUAUUACACAUAAAUAAAGUUGUUUUGUAUCGGCUAAUUAUUUCAACCAAACCAUUCCAAUCAAUUCAUUGAAUUCAUUUCAAAGUUAUGUGUAAUUUGAAAGGAACUUUUCGUUGUAGAGAUUUUUAAAUUUAAUUAAGAUUUUAAUGAGUCUAUAUCAGAUAUGAAGGCACAAUGUCCAUGGCAUGAGUAUUUGAGGAGCACAAAAAAAAGGCUCGAUGCUGAAUUGUUGAUCAUAUAACUUGAAAUUGGAAAUCCUAUUGUAGCAAAGGGUCAAAAGAAAAUUUUGGGAAUAACUUGAAAACAUGGAAUCACAAACAUCAUUGUACAUUUAAAAAAAAUAUAUAAAAUAUGAUUACAAAUGGUCCUGCGGAGUUUUAAGGGGGAAAAAAACCGUGCAUUGCACGGGCAAAAAAACUAGUUGUUUUCCAUUGUUGUACUGUUACUAAACUCUUCAUGAAGGACAAAACUGUAACGCCAUCUGGAAUUUAGCUAUUGGUCCUCCUUAAUGUAGUUCAAAAAAUUAUAACAGUAGAGUUUUUUUUUGUUUGCCUAUGAAGGUGCCUUCUAGGGAGAUUGAGUGGUUAGAAAAAUUGAGAUCGGAGCUCCUAGGAUAAGGAGGGGUGUCGGGUUCUUCCUGUUUGUUUAGGUGGUUUUCAACAUUGUAUGACUUUGGAGCUAUUAAAUUUCUUGCUUACUGAUCAAAAAAGGAGUGUGCUGAAGAAGAUUUUGUCACAAUGGCUAUACCAACUUCUUCUUUCGCAAACAGAUUGAAUGCAUAUCAAUUAAAGGACUAGUGUUUGAGCUUAUCUUUUGAAUUUCAUUCCACAUUCUAUGUUGAUGAAUCAGAAGUUAUAGCAGAGGUCUGUUGGAAUAUGUGAUUUACUGAUUUCGACAUUGAAAAUGGCGUUCUGACUUGAGUAAGGAGUUGUUCUUCUUUAGUUAAGGAUCAAGUUGUUAUAUUAUUUGUUCCUCAAUUCAUUUUGUGUUCUUCCUUAGUGUCGAGUUCCUUUCUGUAGAUUAAACAUUUCUGUUUUCAUCCAAACACCAAGAAAGGUCAAUGCCUAUGGAUUUUGAAUAAGUUUAUGAUCCGAUCCACAUGAUUCAUAUGUAUUGGUUGAUACUGCUUCAACUCCUUCAAGGGUGACAACAAAUCUACACAUCAUGGGAAAAUCGAUGCCUAUGCUGCAAUGUUACAUUUUACAGUCUUUUAAACUCAUUGUAUUGUUGGUCGUGUUGCUAAUAACAGAUAGACAUUAAUAUGUAACAAUUUACUCUAUCAAGGUUCGUUGAUUCUGAUUAUAUUCCAGCAAUGAAGCAUGCAUAUUUUGCCUCAUAUAAUAUCAAGCGAACCAAUGGGCUUGACAAUAUCUUCAUCUUUCUUGCGUUCUGAAUGCCAAUUCAUCUUGCAGCCUUAAAUUCCACUGGAUUAAGGGCAUUGUUUGCUAAAAUAUUUCUUUUUGUAUUUAAAAAAUUGUGUAUGUACUCUCCUUUUUGUUUGAAGCUUGCAUUGAAUUUUUGAGGUCUUUUCUCACACAUUAUUACGAAUUUCAUGAAGAUUUUUCAAGACUACAGGAGAUAUCGUAGAAGUAAUAUUUGCUCAGAUCCUGAUGGUUGCAGCUUGCGUAGGGGCAUGUGGUGAUAGUUAUCCUGUCAUCAUGGUAGUAGAGAAUGUGGCUGAGGCAACAUACCGAUGUACAUAAGAGAGUCUGUGUUCUGUCAACUUGAACUUGUGAUUGGAGUUUGGAGAAUGUGAUGUUACAUUAGUUUUAUUUAGUUUAUUGCUUUGGAAAACAAGAAGUUGCUACAUUGGACAGUUUGGAGAAUUUUUAUGCAUAUAUAAGAGUUGAUGGAUUAUUAAUUUAUUAUUA